GGGUGGGCUUGCGCGCCUGCGCACUGGCACCACGGUCUACAGGCCCCUGCGGCUUGCCGUCCUUUCCCGGCAUGCAAAGCGGCGUCACGAUGGCGGCGGCGGAGGCCGCGUCUCGGAGCUCGGACAUGUUCGAUGAGAUCGUGAUGGCUGAUGAGAGGUUUCAUGGUGAGGGGUAUCAGGAGGGCUAUGCUGAAGGCACUCACCUUGGGGUUGUUGAGGGACGGAGGUUUCAGAAAGUUAAUUACCUACAGAAGGAACAGUAGCAUUGGCAUUAAUCCUUUUUGAAGUGAAAAAGGUAAAUUGCUAAAUUCUGAAAGGGUGGUUAUCAUAAAAUUUUGGGUUGCCUUUGGGUGUGAUACAGAGACGUAGAGUGAUGAAAUAUUUUCCUACUUAGCUCUACAACUAUGUAAUUCCAAGAUAAGAAUGUUAAACAGCAGCCUCCAAAGCUGGAUAGUUUUAUAUAAAAUGGUCCUAGACAAACCAUAAUAGAGAAGUGCUCUAAUCUGCUUAUAUUGGGGAAGCUCCAGAGGAUGGUAAGAUUAUAGACAGUGAGUCACAUUAAAAGAGAGAAAGAGGGACUUGGGUAAUCUUAGACCUUUCAGCCUAUUUUGUGUAUUGGGCAAAAUUAUUAUACUUAUCUGAUAAUUGCCUUGCUUGAUAGAGUAUUAAAUUAAGACAUCAUAAUUAAAGUGUGGGUUUUUUUGGGCACGUUCCUCAGGCAAGCUUAGACAUAGCAUCUGCUUGGGCUCAAGCAGAAGAUUGGCACUGCUGCCCUGUGGCAUGACAGUGCUAAUUAAACUGAGAAGUCUGUGGCUAAGUGUCCAGGGGCCAGGUGUUUUUUAUCGUAGUAUCUUGCAUUUACAGCAGUGGUGACUGCUAUACCUGUCAGUUCUUUUCAUUUGCCUUGGAUCUUUGAGCCGUUUUGGGACAUGCAAAUUAAAUUUUGGUCAGCAAAAAAUUAAUUGGAACUCACUUUCAAAUAUGCUUGAACUCUUAAUGGGAUGUUAAGUCCCUAAUCCGUGUUUGGGCCUAAAAAGGAACCUUGUGCUUCUUUCUGUUUCCAUGCUACCCUCUUGAGUUAAGCUGGUAAAAUUGUUUAUGUAUUAACUCAGAAAAAAGUGUAAUUUCCUCUUUGGUUGACUUAAUAUCUCCCUCAGUCCAGCUUGUGCACCUUUUUGUAGAGCUGUACGAGGGCUGCUUGAAAUGACAGCGUUUCAAGAAUGAAUACUUACCAAAGCAUCUUAAAUAGGUUGUUUUCUAAAU
Long non-coding RNA from Calidris pygmaea (Spoon-billed sandpiper), 1263 nucleotides. Lineage: Eukaryota; Metazoa; Chordata; Aves; Charadriiformes; Scolopacidae. The record is from Ensembl.